CCUGGGGCUACAAUUCAUUGCUAGUCAAAGCCUGUUUCCAGAGAUGCGCAUCAGAGCCAGCUCUUCAGUUCUGGGAGCAAUGAGUCAAUGCCUGAUUCCACAGAUGCCUAUCAGCUGCCCUUACAUGCACUAUGAAGAUACUGAAGAUGUCUUCAAUUGAAGGACAACUAUAAGCACAAGCAAGGAGGGGUAUCUACAUGGCCAGCGCAAGGACAACUAUAAUG
This is a long non-coding RNA of Ixodes scapularis (black-legged tick), 224 nucleotides long. RefSeq lists it as uncharacterized. NCBI's taxonomy places the organism in Eukaryota, Metazoa, Arthropoda, Arachnida, Ixodida, Ixodidae. The record is from RefSeq and is a predicted model, not a curated record. The transcript is spliced from 3 exons.